GAUGAAGAACGUAGCGAAAUGCGAUACUUGGUGUGAAUUGCAGAAUCCCGUGAACCAUCGAGUCUUUGAACGCAAGUUGCGCCUCAAGCCAUUAGGUUGAGGGCACGUCUGCCUGGGCGUCACAUAUCGUUGCCUGAUGCCAGUUUCCUCGUGAUGGGUGACUGUGCAGGGCGAAUGAUGGCUUCCCGUGAGCAUUGUUGCCUCAUGGUUGGUUGAAAAUUGAGUCCUUGGUAGGGAGCGCCGUGAUAGAUGGUGGUUGAGUGACGAACGAGACCCAAUCAUGUGAGACCCCUACCGAAUUUGGCCUUCAUGACCCACAUGCGUCUUUGGAACGCUCAUGACGAGACCUCAGGUCAGGCGGGGCUACCCGCUGAAUUUAAGCAUAUCAGUAAGCGGAGGA
RNAcentral lists this unclassified non-coding RNA (400 nucleotides) under soil metagenome. Its description in RNAcentral is "partial contains 5.8S ribosomal RNA, internal transcribed spacer 2, and large subunit ribosomal RNA". The stretch from base 1 to 122 matches the Rfam family "5.8S ribosomal RNA", at positions 35 to 154 of the family's 154-position model. The record is from RNAcentral.